Molecule: ribosomal RNA, 252 nt
Filed under: uncultured bacterium
Lineage: Bacteria
Description: partial 16S ribosomal RNA
Rfam family: Bacterial small subunit ribosomal RNA
Source: RNAcentral
UACGUAGGUCCCGAGCGUUGUCCGGAUUUAUUGGGCGUAAAGCGAGCGCAGGUGGUUUAUUAAGUCUGGUGUAAAAGGCAGUGGCUCAACCAUUGUAUGCAUUGGAAACUGGUAGACUUGAGUGCAGGAGAGGAGAGUGGAAUUCCAUGUGUAGCGGUGAAAUGCGUAGAUAUAUGGAGGAACACCGGUGGCGAAAGCGGCUCUCUGGCCUGUCACUGACACUGAGGCUCGAAAGCGUGGGGAGCAAACAGG